RNAcentral lists this ribosomal RNA (506 nucleotides) under uncultured bacterium. Its description in RNAcentral is "partial 16S ribosomal RNA". It matches the Rfam family "Bacterial small subunit ribosomal RNA", at positions 28 to 523 of the family's 1533-position model. The record is from RNAcentral.
GUUGAACGCUGGCGGCAGGCCUAACACAUGCGAGUCGAACGGCAGCGGGGGGUAGCUUGCUACCCCGCCGGCGAGUGGCGGACGGGUGAGUAAUGCCUGGGGAGCUGCCCAAUCGAGGGGGAUACCAGUUGGAAACGACUGCUAAUACCGCAUACGCCCUGAGGGGGAACGGUGGGGAUCUUCGGACCUACCGCGAUUGGAUGCACCCAGGUGGGAUUAGCUAGUUGGUGAGGUAACGGCUCACCAAGGCGACGAUCUCUAGCUGGUCUGAGGGGAUGACCAGCCACACUGGAACUGAGACACGGUCCAGACUCCUACGGGAGGCAGCAGUGGGGAAUAUUGCACAAUGGGGGAAACCCUGAUGCAGCCAUGCCGCGUGUGUGAAGAAGGCCUUCGGGUUGUAAAGCACUUUCAGCGAGGAGGAAAGGUUGGCAGCUAAUACCUGUCAGCUGUGACGUUACUCGCAGAAGAAGCACCGGCUAACUCCGUGCCAGCCGCCGCAGUAA